CACGUAGGGGGCGAGCGUUGUCCGGAUUCAUUGGGCGUAAAGCGCGCGCAGGCGGCUCGGAAAGUCGGGUGUGAAAACUCGGGGCUCAACCCCGGGCGUGCAUCCGAUACUGCCGGGCUUGAGGCAGGUAGGGGAGAUCGGAAUUCCUGGUGUAGCAGUGAAAUGCGUAGAUAUCAGGAGGAACACCGAUGGCGAAGGCAGGUCUCUGGGCUGACACUGACGCUCAUGCACGAAAGCGUGGGGAGCAAACAGG
Molecule: ribosomal RNA, 253 nt
Filed under: uncultured bacterium
Lineage: Bacteria
Description: partial 16S ribosomal RNA
Rfam family: Bacterial small subunit ribosomal RNA
Source: RNAcentral